Molecule: ribosomal RNA, 301 nt
Filed under: uncultured bacterium
Lineage: Bacteria
Description: partial 16S ribosomal RNA
Rfam family: Bacterial small subunit ribosomal RNA
Source: RNAcentral
CAGCAGCCGCGGUAAAACGAAGGGGGCUAGCGUUGUUCGGAAUUACUGGGCGUAAAGCGCACGCAGGCGGCUCGAUAAAUUAGAAGUGAAAGCCUUGGGCUUAACCUGAGAAUUGCUUUUAAGACUGUCGAGCUAGAAUCCAGAAGAGGGUGGUGGAAUUCCGAGUGUAGAGGUGAAAUUCGUAGAUAUUCGGAAGAACACCAGUGGCGAAGGCGACUACCUGGUCUGGCAUUGACGCUCAUGUGCGAAAGCAUGGGGAGCAAACAGGAUUAGAUACCCCUGUAGUCCCUGUCUCUUAUAC